Molecule: ribosomal RNA, 497 nt
Filed under: uncultured bacterium
Lineage: Bacteria
Description: partial 16S ribosomal RNA
Rfam family: Bacterial small subunit ribosomal RNA
Source: RNAcentral
GAUGAACGCUGGCGGCGUGCCUAAUACAUGCAAGUCGAGCGAACAGACGAGGAGCUUGCUCCUUUGACGUUAGCGGCGGACGGGUGAGUAACACGUGGGUAACCUACCUAUAAGACUGGGAUAACUUCGGGAAACCGGAGCUAAUACCGGAUAAUAUUUCGAAUCGCAUGGUUCGAUCGUGAAAGAUGGCUUUGCUAUCACUUAUAGAUGGACCUGCGCCGUAUUAGCUAGUUGGUAAGGUAAAGGCUUACCCAGGCAACGAUACGUAGCGGACCUGAGAGGGUGGUCGGCCAGACUGUAACUGAGGCACAGUCGAGACUCCGAGGGGAGGCAGCAGUAGGGAAUCUUCCGCAAUGGACGAAAGCCUGACGGAGCGACGCCGCGUGAAUGAUGAAGGUCUUCGGAUCGUAGAACUCUGUUAGUAGGAAGAAACAAACGUGUAAGUAACGGUGCACGUCUUGACGGUACCUAAUCAGAAAGCCACGGCUAACUACGUG